UACAGAGGUGGCAAGCGUUGUUCGGAAUUACUGGGCGUAAAGGGCGCGUAGGCGGCCUUCUAAGUCAGACGUGAAAUCCCCAGGCUUAACUUGGGAACUGCGUCUGAUACUGGACGGCUUGAGUAUGGGAGAGGAACGUAGAAUUCCAGGUGUAGCGGUGAAAUGCGUAGAUAUCUGGAGGAAUACCGGUGGCGAAGGCGGCGUUCUGGACCAUUACUGACACUGAAUCGCGAAAGCUAGGGGAGCAAACGGG
This 253-nucleotide ribosomal RNA is filed under the name uncultured bacterium. RNAcentral describes it as "partial 16S ribosomal RNA". It matches the Rfam family "Bacterial small subunit ribosomal RNA", at positions 524 to 776 of the family's 1533-position model. The record is from RNAcentral.